Rattus norvegicus (Norway rat) is the source of this 5027-nucleotide non-coding RNA. NCBI's taxonomy places the organism in Eukaryota, Metazoa, Chordata, Mammalia, Rodentia, Muridae. The record is from RefSeq and is a predicted model, not a curated record.
ACCUAGUAGCCAGAGGACAAGCUGUCACAGUACUCACCAAGGAAGACGGCCCAGCCCCAAGGCUUCCAGUGCCGUCUAAAAGACCUAGCCUAAGGUUGAGGAGGUCUUGGGAAGGCCUGUUGUUCCCCGCCAACUUCAUCAUUUCGGUUAGAUUUCCAGCCCACUAAAACUCCCCGUGUGGCCUAUUUUCCAGGUGUCCUCAGACAAGACUCACACUGACUACAGUCUCGGGCCCGAAAGCACAGGCUGGAUGGACCUCUGCACCUCUGGCUCUGUUAAAUAGGGCCAUCCCAGGAAGAGCAGCUCUGCAAGGAAGAGGUUGAUGCACAGGUUCUUGUGGAUGGUGUUGCGGUCGGUCUGCAGGCCCCGCAGGAAGCAGAAGGUGGAGAUGCAGAUAGCCAGACAGACCAGGGAGAUGACAAUGCCAACCCAGGUGAUGACUGACAGCAACAGCUCAUUAAUACGGCCUUGGUACUGGGGGACAGGAGAAGGGGGUGCACUCAGGGCUUGGCCUGGUGCCAGCUGAAGACAAGGACCCAGGUAAGGCUGUGGGCCUCAAGGCCCUCCAGUGCUGCCCAAUCGGCCACCAAGCUGGCCCCCACCCCUGUGCAGGCAGUGCGGGCUCACUUCCUCAUGCUCUGGAAGGCUUGUGAUACCAACUUGCUUUUCCUGAGUGCCUCAGGCCAGAGGGAGCCAGAUGCAAGGCCUCAUGCCCCAGGUAAGACUGGUGGCCCCCCAUGCCCAUGAGCUGGCCUUGUAGGCAUCGCCCAUGCUGUGUGCUCUCUAGGAUGCCAUGCAAAGCCAGGCCAGCAGCAAGCAGGCCUGCCCGGAACAGCACCACACUGGCCAGCUUACGAUCUCUCGGUGAGCCAUGAGCACUGCGAAGUUGGUGAGGUGGCUGCAGGCACAUGUGGUAUGGGUCUUAUUGGACUCCACCAGUCGGCAGCCCUGGGUUGACCAGUAGCCCAGCAUGGAGCGCUCUGAGUAGUUCCAGAAGGAGCAGUUUGCAUUGAAGUGGUUCUUGGCCUGUUAUAUAGGGGUGGACAGAGGGUUGAAAUUGAGAGUUCUGUUCUUACCCUCACACCAGCUUCAGGGAAAGAAGCAUUUGGGGACACCGAGGUGACCACCAGCUCUAUGGUCCAAGCUGAAGUAAGGGAGCUGAAACUUACUCUCAGGUGGGUGAAUGCAUGGUGGGGGAUAUGUAGUCUAGGAACAGAGGAUGCUGGGACUUCAGGGAGUUUCAGGGGUACACCUGGGCUCACCUCCAAGUGGGCCACAGUAAAGAUGACAGGGUCCAUGAGGAAGACACGGCUGGACUCCUUAUUGAUGGAUGCUGCGAUGACCUGUGAGUUAACCACCAGGGAGGCACCUCCAGGGCCACCGGUCCCUGCCUCACCUGCCAGCUUCACUGUGGCAUUCUCCGUGGACAAGAAGAGGCCCAGGUUGUUGUAGAGAAUGAAGACAACCUUCACCACACCUGAGGAAGAUGGGCACAGGGAGAUAUGGCGGCCAUCCUUAGCCACAGCACUCUGUCUGGGUUCCAUGGCUCCCAUGAUACAAUGAAACUGGGCUAUCACAUGUCAAGCAGUUCAGGAGCCAUUUCCACAAGGCCAUUAUCCCUUGGUGGGCGGUUUAAAUGACAGCACAGUGGCUGGCUCUCUGACCUACUUUUACUUUCUUUUCUUUUUAAUUUUUAAAGAUUUAUUUAUAUAAGUACACUACAGCUGUCUUCAGAUGCACCAAAAGAGGGGAUCAGAUCCCAUUACAGAUGGUUGUCAUGUGGUUGCUGGGAUUUGAACUCAGGGGCUCUGGAAGAGCAGUCAGUGCUCUUAACCUCUGAGCCAUCUCUCCAGCCCCACUAUUACUUUUUGCAUGCCCUUGGGCAGAUGCCUAGCCUCUCUGUGCCUCCAUCUCAAAUGGAGCCAGAACCCAGGCCUCUGCAGAGCAUUGGAAUAAUAGCCACACUAGUGACAGAUAAACCAUGAUUAAAACCCAUGACUAUGGGUUUCACAUAGAGCCAAGAUCUAGGUACAAAGUGGGCAACAUGCAUGCACAGACAAAGGCCUGCGGACACUGACCAUUGCGGCUGUUCUGCUUGAUGGUGUUGGCGGACAGCUGAAUGGAGCUCUCACUGGCAUACUCCUGGGGGAACACCAACUCCUGCACUUGACCCUCUGUGCUCAGGACAGUGACCUCCAGGACUGUGUGGGCAGGGGUGACAUGCUAUCAGUGUCUAUCCCCAGACAGGGUUCAUGCUAAAACACAAGGCCUGCAGGAAAACCACAGACCCAGGAACUGGGGAACCAACAACCCCCAAGAUUGAGACUGAUCCUGGAGUAGCUGCAGUACUCACCCACAUUCUGCUUGGCAGCCAAGAAGCGAGCAGGUUCUCUGACAUUGUCGGCCAGCAGGAAGGCACCCUCCUCUAAGACAUCUAGGAGCAUGGUGGCCGUAUGGACCUGUUCGGUGGCAUUCAUGUCUUUCCAUGACUCAAGUGCCUCUGGCCGAAGCAGGUUGUCCACUGUCUCCACCACAGCCUGUGGGUAGCAGGGACAACAGAAUGAGUCUCCCACAUCCUCCAGUUCCUUGGGACAGUCUUGAUGUCUCCUCCUCUCCCUUCCAUUCCCAAAGUCCCCAGGAAGCCAAGGCCCCUCAUUCCCAAGAGCUGGGCCUUCCUGGGCUCACCUUGAUAUAGUCCUUGCAGGUUCUCUCUCGCUUGUGCAUCUACAGAGAGAAAUGGAGGGAGUGACAGGGGGAGACUGAAGACAAUGCGCUCCCUAGCUCUUGUGCUUAGACACUGAUCACUCUUCCAGUGACCUUCUUUAGGAACCCUACCUGGGGUACCACAUCCCUCACUGGUCAUUGUGGGGUGGCAGCACAGGCCAGACCCUUCAUACAGGCCCACCUUAUUGUAGUUCUUGCCAGCUGACUCUCGUUCAAUGGGCCGUAGGGCCUGGAGCUGGGCAUCCAGGAUAUCUAGCAGUUGCUCCAUCAGCUUCACCGAUGAGGACACGUCCCCAGCAUAGAUGGAGCCCCGCGUGUGGCGGGCCAGCUCACUAGCAAUGUUGGCUGCAUUCUCUCCACUCUUGAUCUGCAUGAGGUGGGGAGGAGGGUGACCUCAGGUCUGAGGGGAACUGGCCUACACAGCUGUACAUUCCCUCUUCACAUGCCCCGCCUGCAGAGGCCAUCUUCUCCGUCAGCCUUUCCCACACAAGGUUUACAGAGAACCCUUGCCCUGGCUUUUAGCCCUAUGUGUCUCCCCAACUUUUCCCAUCGCUCCUGCUACCCUGGGUUCUGGCUGGCCUGCCUGCAAGGGGCAGCAGUUACUGGUACCUUCUGGGCGACUUGGUUGACCCAGGGGGAAGUGCAGUUGCUGAGGUCAGGGCCCCGAGGAUUCCAGAGCCCCAGAGCUGGGAGGCACUGGAACGAGGCAAUUCCUGUUGAGAUAGACAAACAAGCCAGAGAGAAGGAGAUGAAGAGACCAAGGACAGAGGGAGGAAAGAGCAGAGGGCGAGCAGGAGAGGGACACUUGGGGAAAGGUACAAGGCCACCCUAGGCCUCCCAGAGUUAUCCUCCCCCCUGACCCCUGCAAGACCCGCUCUGGAAGGCUUUCUUCACUAAGCCUCUCCCAACCUUGUCUGGAACCCCUAGAACCUGAGUUGUUUAUCUGUCCCAUAUCUGUCUUGAAACUGGCUAUGCUUACUCUGAGGCCAGGGGCUGAACACCUGCAGUCCCCCAGGUACAGGGCUGCAGAGCCCAGCUGUCCGUCCCCUAGCUCCUCCAGCUCAGCUGUGCUGCAGCACUCACCUCGAGUUCCCUUGGGGCAAGGUCUCUCUACCAGCAUACCCUGCUGGGUAGCUGGCCACUGGACCCGCCGGACCUCUCGGGGUUCACAGAAGAGCUCAGGGGACACAUGCAGAUUGGGGGCUGGAGGCCGCCGGGUACUGGGUGCUGGGGCUGUGGCUGGAGGCAGGUCAGGUCCCAGCUGGUUGAUGGCACCUACUGGGUGCGUGGUGAGGGGCGCCCGGCGGAGUGGAGUGGUGGCUGCAGGUGAGGCUGUGCUGGUGAGGGGCGUAGGCCGAGCUGUGGUGGUGGUACUGAGAGGUGGGGAAGUGGCUGGGCCUGGAAGGAAGAGGGGACACAGGGUAUGGUCACACCCAUACUUAAGGCACACCAAUGUGCCCAAACACAGGGUCCCUUGGCACCUUGACAUCUACCUUACCCAUUGAAGUACUCUGGGCCCCCUGGUCUUUUUGUGCUCAGAAGUCCCCUGUAUAUAUAUGGAUAUAUAUACACUCAGAAGAGAGUAAAAAUAUACUAUGUGCUCUGUGAGGCUCUCCCAGAGCUGGUACUGGAGACGUGUGUCAAAGCUGCUGGAUGCAAUCACCUCUCAUCUAUGACGCAGCUGACCAUGGUCUGGUGCCUGCCUACCUACACCUUCCCUCAGGGGUAUCAUAAGGCUCUCUGCAGCUCUGGGGUGGCUCUGGUUAGCUGACGGGAAGCUGGAGGCAAAAUGAGAACAAGUAAUUGUUUGCUUUUGAGUCUACAUAUCCAACAAUCUUACACUGAUGUGCCCAGGCAGCACAGAUCCUAGAUCCUGGUUAGAGCCAGAACCCUGGGGGGUUCCAUUCUGAAGUAAACAAUGCCUCAGUCACUUAGUGUAUGAACUUCAUCUAGGAAUCAGCACAGUGAACCCCAAGCCUUGAAGACAGAAGGCACACUGAGGUGUGGAAGGGUGGAUGUUUGCCACACACUGUGAUUUUCUUUACCUCCUAAUCCCCCAGAGUACCGGUGUAUUAUGUGCAAACAGGCCAGCACCCCUCAAAACCCAUCCUCACCAGCACUGGGAUCUGGGGGUCCAAACUCCAGGCUGUAGCGCACCACGAAAUAGUUGUUCCACACAUACAGCUGGUUGUCCCGGGGAUUGUAGUCAACAGAAGAUACAAACUGGUAGGGGUUGGGGAAGGCGAGACUGACGGGCUCCUCUCGGUUUGCAUUGGUGUUAAAGGCAUAGUCCACGCGGUUGC